RNAcentral lists this long non-coding RNA (446 nucleotides) under Mus musculus (house mouse). Its description in RNAcentral is "long non-coding RNA chr2:113650462-113650908". Lineage: Eukaryota; Metazoa; Chordata; Mammalia; Rodentia; Muridae. The record is from RNAcentral.
GACUUUGGGCUUUCUUUCUCAGUACAGUGGUCUCUGGCUAUCCUACUUUUCCCAAAGCAAAUAGCUUUUGCUUGUGGUAGAAAACAAAAGUGGCCAACCUUUUUUUAAAAGAAUAAAAAAUAAAAAAAUAAGACAUUAUGUACUUUUGAUAAACCAAGUUGUAAGCCAACCCAUUUUCAACAUCCUGAAAUGGAGCACUCACGGUCUCUAAUUAAGAGAUCAGCAGGCAUGCAGAGAAGGUGGUCAUCAUGGAGGCAAGCUUUCCCAAUGGCCACUCCUCAGAUAGCCAUCUCUUGAGAGCAGGACUGUUAACUUGUAGGUUCUGACCUGUACUUUGUCCAUCCAGGCUUACAAAGGCUACAAUCUGUAAUUGCCUUGGGAAAAGAUCUUUAAUGAUCAAUAAAUAAUUGAAGGAAAGUGUGUUCUGGUCCUUAGAACUUCUUCAG